UACGUAGGGUGCAAGCGUUAAUCGGAAUUACUGGGCGUAAAGCGUGCGCGGCGGUUAUGUAAGACAGUUGUGAAAUCCCCGGGCUCAACCUGGGAACUGCAUCUGUGACUGCAUAGCUAGAGUACGGUAGAGGGGGAUGGAAUUCCGCGUGUAGCAGUGAAAUGCGUAGAUAUGCGGAGGAACACCGAUGGCGAAGGCAAUCCCCUGGACCUGUACUGACGCUCAUGCACGAAAGCGUGGGGAGCAAACAGG
This 252-nucleotide ribosomal RNA is filed under the name uncultured bacterium. RNAcentral describes it as "partial 16S ribosomal RNA". It matches the Rfam family "Bacterial small subunit ribosomal RNA", at positions 524 to 776 of the family's 1533-position model. The record is from RNAcentral.